This 483-nucleotide ribosomal RNA is filed under the name uncultured bacterium. RNAcentral's name for it is "partial 16S ribosomal RNA". It matches the Rfam family "Bacterial small subunit ribosomal RNA", at positions 30 to 507 of the family's 1533-position model. The record is from RNAcentral.
UUGCACGCUGGCGGCAGGCCUAACACAUGCAAGUCGCGCGGAUGAAGGGAGCUUGCUCCUGGAUUCAGCGGCGGACGGGUGAGUAAUGCCUAGGAAUCUGCCUGGUAGUGGGGGAUAACGUCCGGAAACGGGCGCUAAUACCGCAUACGUCCUGAGGGAGAAAGUGGGGGAUCUUCGGACCUCACGCUAUCAGAUGAGCCUAGGUCGGAUUAGCUAGUUGGUGGGGUAAAGGCCUACCAAGGCGACGAUCCGUAACUGGUCUGAGAGGAUGAUCAGUCACACUGGAACUGAGACACGGUCCAGACUCCUACGGGAGGCAGCAGUGGGGAAUAUUGGACAAUGGGCGAAAGCCUGAUCUAGCCAUGCCGCGUGUGUGAAGAAGGUCUUCGGAUUGUAAAGCACUUUAAGUUGGGAGGAAGGGCAGUAAGUUAAUACCUUGCUGUUUUGACGUUACCAACAGAAUAAGCACCGGCUAACUUCGUG